RNA transcript from Vitis riparia (riverbank grape), 869 nucleotides. It is a transcript of the gene named ABC transporter A family member 12-like, with no coding region annotated. The record is from RefSeq and is a predicted model, not a curated record. The transcript is spliced from 5 exons. Lineage: Eukaryota; Viridiplantae; Streptophyta; Magnoliopsida; Vitales; Vitaceae.
CUCUCUGAUUUUCCAUAUUUUCUCUCUCUAAAAAAUCUUUCUCUCUCCUCUAUCUAUCGCUUUCUUUCUCUCAACUUUCCCCUAUCCUCCGUACCUCUCUUCCAUCUGUUUUUUAAAUGCGUAGAAACCCCAAACUAUCGAUUUUUCCGCUCAAUUUAGCGGAAAUUUUAAUGUGUUUAUAGUUUGCUUGGUAGCGAUCCUCACUAUGAUCACUUUCCUCUCCAUUGUAGUUGCUUUGCCUCGAUGCUGCCACCGAAAACAGGUCCACCAGAUGUGGGUUUACUUAUAAGUGGGAAGUACAAUGACAUGAGUGGAGUCGGAAAAAGGUGGUCUUUAUGAAAGAACUUUUCGUUGGAUUAGAUCCGGUAUUGAGAACCAGUUUAUGGAAUGUUAUAAAGCAUGCAAAGCAAGAUCGAACGAUUAUUUUGACAACACAUUCAAUGGAAGAGGCAGAGCUCUAUGUGACAGAAUAGGAAUUCUAGCAGAUGGCUGUUUGCAAUGUAUAGCCAGCUCUCGAGAGUUGAAGGUUAGAUUUCAAGAACCUUCUACGUUUAAGGACACAACGCCCCCCCACCAGAAGGAUGAGUUGCGUCGCCUUUUUCGGUUUGCGAACUUCUAGUGGGUCAAUGGAAAAAUAGAUCUCACAAUUGUUAGAUGAGGAUUAGAGUGAGUUGAGAAGACAAGCACUUGUGAACAGAGAAGAUAUAAGAUGGGAGGCAUGUGGUUACUAUAAUUCCUGUUCUUGCAUUUCAAAACAGGGUAUGGGAUCAUAUAAUUUGAAGCAUGUUGUUGCAUUUAGGAGCAUAAUUUGAUGAUUGUGGACUGUAAAUUCACUCUCUGCGUCCUCCAUAUAAUUGUUGAUUAUUGUA